CGUGAGUAACCUGCCUUGGAGUGGGGAAUAACAGCUGGAAACAGCUGCUAAUACCGCAUAAUAUAUCUGUGUCGCAUGGCACUGGAUAUCAAAGAUUUAUCGCUCUGAGAUGGACUCGCGUCUGAUUAGCUGGUUGGCGGGGUAACGGCCCACCAAGGCGACGAUCAGUAGCCGGACUGAGAGGUUGGCCGGCCACAUUGGGACUGAGACACGGCCCAGACUCCUACGGAAGGCAGCAG
Molecule: ribosomal RNA, 239 nt
Filed under: uncultured bacterium
Lineage: Bacteria
Description: partial 16S ribosomal RNA
Rfam family: Bacterial small subunit ribosomal RNA
Source: RNAcentral